This is a long non-coding RNA of Neopelma chrysocephalum (saffron-crested tyrant-manakin), 168 nucleotides long. RefSeq lists it as uncharacterized. The transcript has 3 exons. The record is from RefSeq and is a predicted model, not a curated record. NCBI's taxonomy places the organism in Eukaryota, Metazoa, Chordata, Aves, Passeriformes, Pipridae.
UACCUGGAGAGCCCAGAGGAGCCCCUGCAAAAGCUGGCCAUCAAGUUCCUGGGGAUCGCCGCCAGGUCCAUGAAGCAGGAGCAGCCAGAGCUGCAGCUCAUCUGCCAGGCCCUUCAAGGCAUGACUGAUGACAGCCCUGCCGUCUCAAACCUGGCACUUCAAACGCUC